This 1374-nucleotide long non-coding RNA is filed under the name Mustela putorius furo (domestic ferret). RNAcentral describes it as "lncRNA (ENSMPUG00000026172.1)". The record is from RNAcentral. Lineage: Eukaryota; Metazoa; Chordata; Mammalia; Carnivora; Mustelidae.
AUGGCUGUUGGGUCACUGCUUGUGGUAUGUGGGUGCCUACAGAGGAGUCCGUCUCCCCUGGUCACAGGUGUCUGCAGUGAGAAGAUGAAGACGGCAUCACUUGCUCUACGGCCAGGUGGAGGGAAUGACCCGACCACCUGUUGCCGAGUGCUGGGCCAACCAGGCGUGCAACUCCCCUGCCCAACCCUCUGCCCCAUUAGCCGCUCGUCUCCCCAUCCCUUCAUUGUGGUGCACUGAGCCUUGCACUCAGAAGCUGUCAGGGACGACGAUGAAUAAACACAUCGUGGUCGUAACCGGAAAUGGGAGCUGAUGCGGGAGUACUUGGGCGUCAAAGCAGGUGAUGCGAACACGGAACAGAAAGCCAGCAAGCAGGAAGCAGGCAGCGACUCCACUGAUGUGCCCUUGAAACCUGCUCCCCUGCACAAACUUUCUGCAUCUCUGCGGCUGGACAAUAGUAUACGGAGUAAAUGAAUAUGGAGCACCACCUGCUCGUCCUCCCUGGCCUCGCGAUCAAAAACACAAGGCAUGAAACACAAAAACCUGUCUGGGAAGAGUUUAUUUUUGACCUUGAAAGAUGUGGUUUGGGAAGGAUGAGAGAGAAGGAGUGGUCUGUUGGUUUGGAGAGUGUUGGAAGCCCCCUUAGCCCCACCACAAGCCAUGGAAGAAGGUCCUCUUAAGUCACUGGCAAGGAGCAGGGGGACAUGGGAGGAGAGAUGGAUUCUGGUCACCACCCGGCUUCCACACCCCUUGUGUUGUAGGACCUUGUUCUUUUAGUCUCCGCUUCGUGUGCUGGAGAAAAGAAACGUUGUGUCAGGUAGGAGAGGAUAAAGAAAGGUUAUCUUAUGGACUUCGCAGGGUUUUUGUCUCAAGCAAGAUGUCCCACGUGGAAGGGCUUUGGGAACUGGGUUAUGCUGUAGCAGCCAGUCAUUAAUCAUGAGUUGGAAGGAGGGCGGGCUCAGGUGACAGGUGGGAACUCGACACAGGUGCAAGGGAUGCUCACAGGAAGGGCACUGAAGAGGCAGAUCUCCGUCCCAGGGGCCUGUGUGUGUGUGUGUAUGGGGGCUCUCAGUCCUGUGCUCCUUGCCCACAGCUUCCCUUACCCCUCAAAGCACUGGCAGUGAAAGGUAGAACAUUCUCUUGAAAGUUACCUUUCGUUACUAUUUUUAAUAUUGUUAGCAUUGCAAUUCUAAUAAAUACUGUGUAACCUCCCCAAAGCAGUAUCAGACCCCGCACUCAGGGUCAUUCUGCAAUAUUACCAGAACCAAUGACUUUGGAAUAAAAACAUUAAUUUAAAGGCCACUAGAGGACCAAGGUGACCAUGGGUGAUGCAAAACCAAAAAACAAAUACGUUUAUCUUUACACCAAACUGUUUAG